This 65-nucleotide transfer RNA is filed under the name Scolytinae sp. BMNH 1043133. RNAcentral describes it as "tRNA-Ala". The record is from RNAcentral. Lineage: Eukaryota; Metazoa; Arthropoda; Insecta; Coleoptera; Curculionidae.
AGGAUAUUAGUUUAAAUAAAACAAUUAAAUUGCAUUUAAAAAAUAUUAAUAUUAAAUAUAUCUUA